AUAAAAAUUCCAUCUUCUUAAAUUAUAUAAAUAAAUUAUCGUAAACUUUAUUCGUACAACUUUUAAUCGAAAAUUUUGCAACCUGGUCUCUGAUUUUAACAAGCGUAUCAGGGUAUGAGAAAAAGAAAAAAAGAAAGAAAUAAAAGAUUCUAGAACAGCCAAGUUACAAAGACUGGAGCGUUUCAUAAAGAUUUAUUCUCGAAAAAUCGUGCAUCAGGUGUAUAUAAGUGGUACAAUAGAGAAACGGCAUAAGAAAGCUUAUUAAUUCCUAAUUCAUAAUAAUAUGCAGUAAUAAUAUGUAUUGCAAGUAUGUAUGCAAUAGACAUAAUGUAUGCAAGAGCUAUAUAUAAUUCUAACAAUGAUAAAGAAUCGUCGCUGCCCAACAUCAUCAUCAUCAUAAUAAUCAUAAUUAUCAUCGUCGUCAGCCAUACACGUAUUCUUUUAAUUCUUAUCACUUAUCUUAUGAUCUAAUAGAACUUAAAUAAGUACUUACAAUAAGUAUAGAAUAGAUUACGACGAAUUCUUUUCGAAUUGGAUUCUGCUCUUCUGAUAAUCUCCUCCAUUCACAUAAUUCAAAAUUCAUUGCUUUAGAAGAAAAUAACUCUUUGAUUACGUAGAUAAUGUUCGUUUCAAUCAUAAAGAAUAUGAAUGGUCGAUUCAAUUUAAUUUUAAUUUAAUUUCACUCAUACGUAAGAGAAAAUAUUCGUAAGAUCUCAUUUUCAAGGAACAAAUUUUUAUUCGUAUUUUUUUUUUAAUCGUCAAAGUGCAUUCUCAUAAUAGAAACUUGCUUGUUAGAUAAGAUCUCGGUUUCAAAGAGUAGAGAAAAUUUUCUUUUACUCAUAUUUUUUUUUAUAAUUCUAUGCGAUAAUUAAUUAAUGUGUGAAUUUUCCUAUUUAAUUUAGAUCCUUGUCUAUUAUUGUUUACAUUUUGCUUUCUUUUUUUUACUUUCUUCGAUCCAAACAUUCUUUAAUAACAACGACAAUUAAUGAAGAAGUAAUUAUAAAUUAAAAAUUAAAGUAAAAAAAGAGUUAUAAUUUUCUUCUUCAGGCAACAAAUUUUAAGAAGAGACACAAUUUGAAAGGAGAACAUUACACAUUUUCACCGCUUGAAAAAAUGAUACGUUUUCCCUGUUGAUUCACGUUUCCUUCCUCCUUUAAACUUUUCCUUACAAGUAAACAUACCAUACGUCCGUUUAUAAAGGUCCGUUUCCAAUUGUUAUUCGUCCACAAGUUGGAAACGCGUCCAACGAAGGAGAACAGCGAUGCAUAUUUCAAUCUGCUCAGCGAUACGACGGAUUCCUUAUUACUAAAGAACAAAAUUCUAUGCCUCGAGAGAAUUCCUCACUGGCCUAAGUCCUUUUUUUUUUCCACCUUUUUUUCUACUUAUCGAAUCGAUAUGAACGAAGAAGUUUCUCGUCGCUCUAUUAUCGUCCCUAUGGGACCAUUCUCGCGGCAAAUAAAACAGGAGUUUUAUCAGGUUCUCCUCUGAGCAAAACGACUCAUGGAUGUGUUCGAAGAAUUGAUGAUAACAAAUAUAAUAAAGUUCCAAUUAAAGAUCCUCUGGUCAAUACGAAAUGAGAAAGAAUGGAAAUUUAUUCAUUUAGUUUCCAAAUAGAUAUCGAUAAAAAUUUUUUCGGUAUAAUUUAUAUCGAAUUUUGUGAAUUAUAUCGAAUCAUACAGCGAUUAAUUCAACCAUUUUCGCUGUAGAUGUCGCAACAUGUCAUCAAACGAUCCAGUAUCUUGGUAUCUUAACCUUCAAUUGCUUCCAUGAAGAAUUAAAUUAAAUUUUCAAUUCAUAACUUAAUAUCAAUAUACGGAAUCUUCGAAGAUAACAAUAAUUGCCAAUAUCUUUUCACAAAUUUUAUUUCUUUUUGAACGAGAUAACGUGAUUAAUUGUGUUCAAUUUCUUGAGAAUCAGAUUACAGAAUAUCUUAUAAAUAUAAGAUCACUAUAGCGACAAUGAAACAAUACUCGACAAUCAUCGACAUUUACGGAUGACAUAUCGUCGACGUACACGUCCGUUCAUUAAUUAAUCCCAAGAGUUUUCUUUACGAGCCUCGAUUUUCAAAUUGCCGUAGAAAAUGGUCGAUUGAAUUUCCGCGAAGGCCUUGCAAUUUCUUCCGGAAUAUGCCGUGUUCGAGGACCUCUUUCAAGAGCACUUGCCCAUGCCGAUUGUGAUUUUUCUCUCUUCACUUGACUUUUUAUAAAUUUUUCUUUCAUUUUUUUUUUAUCGUUCAAAAUGUGAAAAAAGUGAAAACGUGGUAAUAUAACAAUUUCUUGAAUGUAAUUGAAAGCAAGAAAAGGCUUGUCGAAAAGAAAUUUAUCGAAAAAUGUUUCGAAAAAAAAAUGAAAUCAAUUCAUCCGAGAUAAAAUUUAAUUGAUAAAAUUGGCGAUUUUGUUUCGUAUUAAUGAUAAUUUAAAAAGGCAAAUUUGAUUUUAUAUUUGAUUUUAUGAAUAAUAUAAAACGAUACGAAUUAAAAAAUACAAGAGAAAAUAUUAUAUCGUUAUAAAAGAUACGAGUAAAUAAAAAUAUCUUUUUUAAAAAA
Apis cerana (Asiatic honeybee) is the source of this 2545-nucleotide long non-coding RNA. RefSeq lists it as uncharacterized. The record is from RefSeq and is a predicted model, not a curated record. Lineage: Eukaryota; Metazoa; Arthropoda; Insecta; Hymenoptera; Apidae.